AAUUUUGCAUAAAACACAUGAAGUAAUAGUUUAAAACUUCGAUCAAGUUUUUUUUUAAAAAAAUCCCAUUUUCCCUAUCGUUCUCGAUCUCUUUCCCUAACCCCAUAACCAGUUCAUCAUAUAGCUUCUAACAUAUCAAACAUUAUUAAACCAAGAAUUAGUUAUGAACUCAGGAUCUGAUAUUAGUAGCAUCCAAUUCCAUCUCUAUCUCUAUUAUAUAAAGGAACAGCUGAGGGCAUUUUGGUAACUCAACUUUUCAUAUCCCAAGCGAAAAGACGAAAAUACCCUCAUUUGUUGUUUAUCGGGGCUUGCUGAGCCUUCGUUUCUAGGGCGAGAUUUCGUUUAUCCCAUCUCUCUCCUCUCACCUGCCUCUCUCCCCCUCUCACCUGCCUCUCUCCUUCCUCGCCGUCGUCCCUCUUUAAUGGCGACUCUGAGGUCAAUCGGAGGGAAAUGCAGAGCCUUAUUGGCGGAAUCAACGACCGCUACUGGUGCUACAAAAAGAUCGGAGCCUCCUUUCUCCGCUGCUUCUGGUAACAAUAAUAGAGGUAUUUUGGUCUCUCCCACCCCCAGUGACUUGGAACUACAUCAAGCUUCACCAUCUUCAGGGAAGAGAUGUACGUCAUUUUCGGAAAUUAGGUAUCAAUUAGCCAAAUUCGUGAAAAAUACCCAGAAGAACCCUCCUCAAGAAUAAGAUCGAGCUCUUUAGCACACCGAUGAUGUCCUCAAGGUUUAACACUUUCAAAAGAAUCUGGAACUGAAGCAAAGCCAGAUCGGUGUAGCAGCCAGAAGAAGCUUAUUCAAAGAUACCGGCUCCAUUUCCGCGAUCCUCUUUAUAUAAGUCUUUUAAGCACGCAAUGUGUGCGAAAUUUUUAGAAUGUAGGUAUGCGGACAAUAAGAAAUUAAUAUUUAUUAUCGUAAAAUGACUACCUAUCUUUUAUAUUAUUUUGAAAGCAUCUUAACCAAUUUCUUAAUAAGAGAAAGGUUUAAAAGA
Molecule: long non-coding RNA, 991 nt
Organism: Spinacia oleracea (spinach)
Lineage: Eukaryota; Viridiplantae; Streptophyta; Magnoliopsida; Caryophyllales; Amaranthaceae
Exons: 4
Source: RefSeq, a predicted model, not a curated record